CCAGCAUCCUUCAUGUCAGUGUCUCCAAUGACAACAUUAGCGGUCUUGCCGCCUUUCCCAGGAUGACGCUUGUCAUAGCGAUUAGGGCAACUAGGAGCCCAAUGAUCAGGAUCUCCACACACAUGACAAGCACCUUUCUUCUUGUCAUUCUUCUUCUUGAAGUUCGUGUGUUGCACAGCCUUGUUCUUCCCAUCAAACUUUUCUUUACCAUCAAACUUGCCCUUGUUCUUGAACUUGUGGGGCUGGAAGUUCUUCUUCUGUACCAGAUUGGCACUAGAUCCUCCCUCAAUACCUCGAGCACGUGUGUCCUUUGCUCUCGCCUUUUCUUCCACAUCAAGAGU
Molecule: ribosomal RNA, 341 nt
Filed under: Triticum aestivum (bread wheat)
Lineage: Eukaryota; Viridiplantae; Streptophyta; Magnoliopsida; Poales; Poaceae
Description: partial small subunit ribosomal RNA
Source: RNAcentral